This 440-nucleotide ribosomal RNA is filed under the name uncultured bacterium. Its description in RNAcentral is "bacterial SSU rRNA". It matches the Rfam family "Bacterial small subunit ribosomal RNA", at positions 338 to 795 of the family's 1533-position model. The record is from RNAcentral.
CCUACGGGGCGCACCAGUGGGGAAUAUUGGACAAUGGGCGAAAGCCUGAUCCAGCAAUGCCGCGUGUAUGAAGAAGGUCUUCGGAUUGUAAAGCACUUUCGACGGGGACGAUGAUGACGGUACCCGUAGAAGAAGCCCCGGCUAACUUCGUGCCAGCAGCCGCGGUAAUACGAAGGGGGCUAGCGUUGCUCGGAAUGACUGGGCGUAAAGGGCGCGUAGGCGGUUUAUGCAGUCAGAUGUGAAAUCCCCGGGCUUAACCUGGGAGCUGCAUUUGAGACGCAUAGACUAGAGGUCGAGAGAGGGUUGUGGAAUUCCCAGUGUAGAGGUGUAAUUCGUAGAUAUUGGGAAGAACACCGGUGGCGAAGGCGGCAACCUGGCUCGAUACUGACGCUGAGGCGCGAAAGCGUGGGGAGCAAACAGGAUUAGAUACCCUAGUAGUC